RNAcentral lists this ribosomal RNA (769 nucleotides) under Aphelenchoides sp. Ap042. RNAcentral describes it as "SSU rRNA". It matches the Rfam family "Eukaryotic small subunit ribosomal RNA", at positions 955 to 1747 of the family's 1831-position model. Lineage: Eukaryota; Metazoa; Nematoda; Chromadorea; Rhabditida; Aphelenchoididae. The record is from RNAcentral.
UUUGCCAGAGUGUUUUCAUUAAUCAAGAACGAAAGUCAGAGGUUCGAAGGCGAUUAGAUACCGCCCUAGUUCUGACCGUAAACGAUGCCAACUGUCGAUCCGCUUGUGGAUUUUAUUCAUGAGCGGGGAGAUUCCCGGAAACGAAAGUUUUUCGGUUUCGGGGGAAGUAUGGUUGCAAAGCUGAAACUUAAAGGAAUUGACGGAAGGGCACCACCAGGAGUGGAGCUUGCGGCUUAAUUUGACUCAACACGGGAAAUCUCACCCGGUCAGUACAUCGUGAGGAUUGACAGACUGACAGCUCUUUCAUAAUUCGGUGAAUGGUGGUGCAUGGCCGUUCUUAGUUCGUGGAUUGAUUUGUCUGGUUUAUUCCGAUAACGAGCGAGACUUUAACUAUUAAAUAGUGCACUUGUUGCUUCGGCUGCGAGUGAACACUUCUUAAAGGAAUUUGUGGUUUCCAACCUCAAGAAAUUGAGCAAUAACAGGUCUGUGAUGCCCUUAGAUGUUCGGGGCCGCACGCGUGCUACAAUGAUGGUAACAGCGUGAUUGUCCUUUUCCGACAGGAAUUGGCAAACAGUUGAGAUAUUAUUAUGGCUGGAAUUGAGUGUUGAAAUUUUCUCUCAUGAACGAGGAAUUCCAAGUAAAUGUGAGUCAUUAACUUGCAUUGAUUACGUCCCUGCCCUUUGUACACACCGCCCGUCGCUGCCCGGGACUGAGUUACUUCGAGAAAACUAGGGAUCGUCGGUGUUCAAUGUUUCGGCAUUGUCUUCGA